Long non-coding RNA from Alosa sapidissima (American shad), 192 nucleotides. RefSeq lists it as uncharacterized. Lineage: Eukaryota; Metazoa; Chordata; Actinopteri; Clupeiformes; Clupeidae. The transcript is spliced from 3 exons. The record is from RefSeq and is a predicted model, not a curated record.
GCUCCUCCGAUCUGCGAGAUAUAGGCACUAUUAAUCAAAAACUUUGGUUUGGUAACCAAAGAAUACUGCUGAGCUUGUGUAAACUACAAUUUAGUUUGACCAGACCUAACUGUAGUAAACAACGUCUAAACGUCUCUCUUUAGCACCCCUGUCUGGUGGAACGUUUGGCUGGGUUUGCCAAAACGGUCCCAG